GGCCAGACUCCUACGGGAGGCAGCAGUGGGGAAUAUUGCACAAUGGGGGAAACCCUGAUGCAGCAACGCCGCGUGAGUGAAGAAGUAUUUCGGUAUGUAAAGCUCUAUCAGCAGGGAAGAAGAUGACGGUACCUGACCAAGAAGCCCCGGCUAACUACGUGCCAGCAGCCGCGGUAAUACGUAGGGGGCAAGCGUUAUCCGGAUUUACUGGGUGUAAAGGGGGCGCAGACGGCGAUGCAAGCCAGGAGUGAAAGCCCGGGGCCCAACCCCGGGACUGCUCUUGGAACUGCGUGGCUGGAGUGCAGGAGGGGCAGGCGGAAUUCCUGGUGUAGCGGUGAAAUGCGUAGAUAUCAGGAGGAACACCGGUGGCGAAGGCGGCCUGCUGGACUGCAACUGACGUUGAGGCCCGAAAGCGUGGGGAGCAAACAGGAUUAGAUACCCCCGUA
This 446-nucleotide ribosomal RNA is filed under the name uncultured bacterium. RNAcentral describes it as "bacterial SSU rRNA". It matches the Rfam family "Bacterial small subunit ribosomal RNA", at positions 329 to 792 of the family's 1533-position model. The record is from RNAcentral.